RNAcentral lists this small nuclear RNA (109 nucleotides) under Bombyx mori (domestic silkworm). Its description in RNAcentral is "U2 spliceosomal RNA". It matches the Rfam family "U2 spliceosomal RNA". Rfam says of the family: U2 is a small nuclear RNA (snRNA) component of the spliceosome (involved in pre-mRNA splicing). Complementary binding between U2 snRNA (in an area lying towards the 5' end but 3' to hairpin I) and the branchpoint sequence (BPS) of the intron results the bulging out of an unpaired adenosine, on the BPS, which initiates a nucleophilic attack at the intronic 5' splice site, thus starting the first of two transesterification reactions that mediate splicing. The record is from Rfam by way of RNAcentral. Lineage: Eukaryota; Metazoa; Arthropoda; Insecta; Lepidoptera; Bombycidae.
AUCGCUUCUCGGCCUUUUGGCUAAGAUCAAAGUGUAGUAUCUGUUCUUUUCAGCUUAAAAAAAAAAAAAAAAAAAGUUAAAUGUUUGAAGACGCUAAGCAAGACUUUUA